RNAcentral lists this ribosomal RNA (468 nucleotides) under uncultured bacterium. RNAcentral's name for it is "partial 16S ribosomal RNA". It matches the Rfam family "Bacterial small subunit ribosomal RNA", at positions 28 to 507 of the family's 1533-position model. The record is from RNAcentral.
GACGAACGCUGGCGGCGUGCUUAACACAUGCAAGUCGAACGGAAAGGCCCUGCUCUUGUGGGGUGCUCGAGUGGCGAACGGGUGAGUAACACGUGAGUAACCUGCCCUUGACUUUGGGAUAACUUCAGGAAACUGGGGCUAAUACCGGAUAGGAGCUCCUGCUGCAUGGUGGGGGUUGGAAAGUUUCGGCGGUUGGGGAUGGACUCGCGGCUUAUCAGCUUGUUGGUGGGGUAGUGGCUUACCAAGGCUUUGACGGGUAGCCGGCCUGAGAGGCUGACCGGCCACAUUGGGACUGAGAUACGGCCCAGACUCCUACGGGAGGCAGCAGUGGGGAAUAUUGCACAAUGGGCGGGAGCCUGAUGCGGCAACGCCGCGUGCGGGAUGACGGCCUUCGGGUUGUAAACCGCUUUCGCCUGUGACGAAGCGUGAGUGACGGUAAUGAGUAAAGAAGCACCGGCUAACUACGUG